GAAUCCAGCCACCAGGCCAGAGGCAGCCGAGCACUUCCUUCUACCUACACCUCAGAUGCCGGCCAGCUGCCAGCCGUGAGUCAACCUGAACGUGGGUCCUCCAGCCCUCAGCUGAGCUGCCCUCUACAACACUGUGUGGGGCACAGAUUAGCUGUCCCUGCUGACGGCUGCCUGCAUCGCAGAUCUGCGCGCAAAAGUAAAACUCAAUUUAAUCCAGAAGAUCGAUGAAAGUGGAAAAUCACUGUGGAUCGAACUCAGGACCUUGUGCUUUCAAGGCA
Molecule: non-coding RNA, 278 nt
Organism: Heterocephalus glaber (naked mole-rat)
Lineage: Eukaryota; Metazoa; Chordata; Mammalia; Rodentia; Bathyergidae
Source: RefSeq, a predicted model, not a curated record